AGACAGCAGUAGCCGCGGUAAUACGAAGGGUGCAAGCGUUACUCGGAAUUACUGGGCGUAAAGCGUGCGUAGGCGGACUUUUAAGUCAGGGGUGAAAUCCCGGGGCUCAACCCCGGAACUGCCUUUGAUACUGGAAGUCUUGAGUAUGGUAGAGGUGAGUGGAAUUCCGAGUGUAGAGGUGAAAUUCGUAGAUAUUCGGAGGAACACCAGUGGCGAAGGCGGCUCACUGGACCAUUACUGACGCUGAGGUGCGAAAGCGUGGGGAGCAAACAAGAUUAGAUACCCCAGUAGUCCCUGUCUCUUAUAC
Molecule: ribosomal RNA, 307 nt
Filed under: uncultured bacterium
Lineage: Bacteria
Description: partial 16S ribosomal RNA
Rfam family: Bacterial small subunit ribosomal RNA
Source: RNAcentral